This is a non-coding RNA of Phodopus roborovskii (desert hamster), 130 nucleotides long. RefSeq annotates it as small Cajal body-specific RNA 4. NCBI's taxonomy places the organism in Eukaryota, Metazoa, Chordata, Mammalia, Rodentia, Cricetidae. The transcript has a single exon. The record is from RefSeq and is a predicted model, not a curated record.
ACUGGAAGACCAAGGCCGAGUCUGAUGAAGCAAGACUGUGCUGACACACUCCUCCUAGACAAAGGGGUGGAGAGAGCAGCCCUAAAUCAGAGAAAAACCACAAGGCUGAAAAUUUUACAGCACUGUAUUU